RNAcentral lists this long non-coding RNA (1812 nucleotides) under Homo sapiens (human). RNAcentral describes it as "HSALNT0409370". Lineage: Eukaryota; Metazoa; Chordata; Mammalia; Primates; Hominidae. The record is from RNAcentral.
CAAUACCAUCACAUUUCUGGGAGCUCAUCCAGGAUUGGAGAUUUACUGUCUCCUUUGCCUGUGGGACUAGAGCCCCAGGGCCAGGGGAAACCCAGCAUCCAAGGCAUGCCAUGAGGGAGCUUCACCCAGAUGGAAACCAGCUCUCCCCUGAUCCCAGUGCCCUGGCCACUAGUGUAAUGGAACCAGGGAUGGAGCUGCAGGAUGAUACCAGCACUUCAUAAACCAUGAAUCAAGGCCAUCAAGCUACAGAUGGUCUUACAAAUGGAACCCCAAAUGAUUUCAACUAACAACUUCUACUGAGGACCCCUGGACCAACCCACUGGCACUUCACCUGGCCUGGAGAGUUCCCCUCUGAAGGACACCACAACUGCAGGGCCCAUUCUUCACCCCUAUCCAGCAGGAAGUAGCUAGAGCGGUCAUCGGCCAAAUUCCCAACAGCAAUUGGGGUGUCCUGUUUAGAGGGGGGAUUGAGAGGUGAUAGCAUGCUGGCAGUCCUCAGGGCCCUCGCUUGCUCUUGGCACCUCCUCUGCCUGGUCUCCCACUUUGGUGGCACUUGAGGAGCCCUUCAGCCUGCUGCUGCACUGUGGGAGCCCCUUUCUGGGCUGGCCAAGUCUGGAGCCCACUCCCUCAGCUUGCAGGGAAGUGUGCAGGGAGAGGCAUGAGUGGGAACUGGGGCUGCCUGUGGCGCUUGCAGGCCAGCUGGAGUUCUGGGUGGGUGUGGGCUUGGCAGGCCCCACACUUGGAGAGGCCAGCCAGCCCUGCUGGCCCCGGGCAGUGAGGGGCUUAGCACCUGGGCCAGCGGCUGCGGAGGGUGUACUGGGUCCCCCAGCAGUGCCAGCCCACUGGCGCUGUGCUCGAUUUCUCACUGUGUCUUAGUUGCCUUCCCAUGGGGCCGGCCUUGGGACUGCAGCCAGCCAUGCCUGAGACUUCCCCCGCCUCCAUGCAUUCCUGUGCAGCCCAAGCCUCCCUGAUGAAUGCCACCCCCUGCUCCACGGUGCCCAGUCCCAUCGACCACCCAAGAGCUGAGGAGUGCAAGAGCAUGGUGUGGGACUGGUGAAGCCAGCUGGGCUCCUUAGUCUGGUGGGGAUGUGGAGAGUCUUUCUAUCUAGCUCAACAACUCCAGACACACCACCUUAAGAGCUGUAACACUCACCGCGAAGGUCUGCAGCUUCACUCCUGAGCCAGCGAGACCACGAACCCACCAGAAGGAAGAAACUCUGAACACAUCUGAACAUCAGAAGGGACAAACUCCAGAUGUGCCACCUUAAGAGCUGUAACACUCACCACGAGGGUCCGCGGCUUCAUUCUUGAAGUCAGUGAGACCAAGAACCCACCAAUUCUGGACACACAACCACCCUAGGACCCAUAUAGGAGAGGCCCAUUUUGUGAUGUCUACUCCCACUGCUCUUAAAGUUGCAGGUGUCACACCUUGGAUGCACCAUAGUUGGCUGAAACCAGUGGCAGCAGUGACUCCUGAUGAUGACCAGUGGAUUAGCCAACAAGACCCAGAUCACCCCACCCCAAUAGUCCUACAGCAAAACCCAACCACCAGUAAGAAGGACAACUGCCCUGCUCUAACCACACCAGAGGGUGGUCAGUCUACGCAUGGCUGAAGCUUGAGGAUCCUGCAAGCUCUGCUCUAGUCACAUCCCAGAAGCUAACUAGUCUACGUACAGAUGAAGCUAAAAGGACCAUCUCUGGAUAAGUAAAUGUAAAUACAAUUUAUAAGUGUAAUUAUAAUUCUGUCAAUACUGAUUGUUCUGUUGUUAUUACUGCAAAUGCUGCAAACGUCUAUGCCCAGAGGAAGGUUUG